GAUGAACGCUGGCGGCGUGCCUAAUACAUGCAAGUCGAGCGAACGGACGAGAAGCUUGCUUCUCUGAUGUUAGCGGCGGACGGGUGAGUAACACGUGGAUAACCUACCUAUAAGACUGGGAUAACUUCGGGAAACCGGAGCUAAUACCGGAUGAUAUUUUGAACCGCAUGGUUCAAUAGUGAAAGACGGUCUUGCUGUCACUUAUAGAUGGAUCCGCGCUGCAUUAGCUAGUUGGUAAGGUAACGGCUUACCAAGGCAACGAUGCAUAGCCGACCUGAGAGGGUGAUAGGCCACACUGGAACUGAGACACGGUCCAGACUCCUACGGGAGGCAGCAGUAGGGAAUCUUACGCAAUGGGCGAAAGCCUGACGGAGCAACGCCGCGUGAGUGAUGAAGGUCUUCGGAUCGUAAAACUCUGUUAUUAGGGAAGAACAUAUGUGUAAGUAAAUGUGCACAUCUUGACGGUACCUAAUCAGAAAGCCACGGCUAACUACGUG
RNAcentral lists this ribosomal RNA (497 nucleotides) under uncultured bacterium. Its description in RNAcentral is "partial 16S ribosomal RNA". It matches the Rfam family "Bacterial small subunit ribosomal RNA", at positions 28 to 507 of the family's 1533-position model. The record is from RNAcentral.